UACGGAGGGUGCAAGCGUUACUCGGAAUCACUGGGCAUAAAGCGCGCGCAGGCGGUCUUUUAAGUUGGAUGUGAAAGCCUACGGCUCAACCGUAGAACUGCAUCCAAAACUAUUAGACUAGAGUGUGGGAGAGGAAGAUGGAAUUAGUUGUGUAGGGGUAAAAUCCGUAGAGAUAACUAGGAAUACCAAAAGCGAAGGCAAUCUUCUGGAACACUACUGACGCUGAGGCGCGAAAGCGUGGGGAGCAAACAGGAUUAGAUACCCUAGUAGUCC
RNAcentral lists this ribosomal RNA (273 nucleotides) under uncultured bacterium. Its description in RNAcentral is "partial 16S ribosomal RNA". It matches the Rfam family "Bacterial small subunit ribosomal RNA", at positions 524 to 796 of the family's 1533-position model. The record is from RNAcentral.